AGCUUGCUCCCUGAUGUUAGCGGCGGACGGGUGAGUAACACGUGGGUAACCUGCCUGUAAAACUGGGAUAACUCCGGGAAACCGGGGCUAAUACCGGAUGGUUGUUUGAACCGCAUGGUUCAAACAUAAAAGGUGGCUUCGGCUACCACUUACAGAUGGACCCGCGGCGCAUUAGCUAGUUGGUGAGGUAACGGCUCACCAAGGCAACGAUGCGUACCCAACCUGAGAGGGUGAUCGGCCACACUGGGACUGAGACACGGCCCAGACUCCUACGGGAGGCAGCAGUAGGGAAUCUUCCGCAAUGGACGAAAGUCUGACGGAGCAACGCCGCGUGAGUGAUGAAGGUUUUCGGAUCGUAAAGCUCUGUUGUUAGGGAAGAACAAGUAC
This 387-nucleotide ribosomal RNA is filed under the name Bacillus stercoris. RNAcentral describes it as "bacterial SSU rRNA". It matches the Rfam family "Bacterial small subunit ribosomal RNA", at positions 77 to 456 of the family's 1533-position model. The record is from RNAcentral. Lineage: Bacteria; Bacillati; Bacillota; Bacilli; Caryophanales; Bacillaceae.